UAGUCUGGGAUACCACUUGGAAAACAGGUGCUAAUACCGGAUAAGAAAGCAGAUCGCAUGAUCAGCUUUUUAAAAGGCGGCGUAAAGCUGUCGCUAUGGGGAUGGGCCCCGCGGUGCAUUAGCUAGUUGGUAAAGGUAAAAGGGCUUACCAAGGCGAUGAUGCAUAGCCGAGUUGAGAGACUGAUCGGCCACAUUGGGACUGAGACACGGCCCAAACUCCUACGGGAGGCAGCAGUAGGGAAUCUUCCACAAUGGACGCAAGUCUGAUGGAGCAACGCCGCGUGAGUGAAGAAGGUUUUCGGAUCGUAAAGCUCUGUUGUUGGUGAAGAAGGAUAGAGGUAGUAACUGGCCUUUAUUUGACGGUAAUCAAUUAGAAAGUCACGGGCUAACUACGUGCCAGCAGCCGCGGUAAAU
RNAcentral lists this ribosomal RNA (414 nucleotides) under uncultured Lactobacillus sp. RNAcentral's name for it is "bacterial SSU rRNA". It matches the Rfam family "Bacterial small subunit ribosomal RNA", at positions 134 to 525 of the family's 1533-position model. Lineage: Bacteria; Bacillati; Bacillota; Bacilli; Lactobacillales; Lactobacillaceae. The record is from RNAcentral.